Molecule: ribosomal RNA, 893 nt
Filed under: uncultured bacterium
Lineage: Bacteria
Description: bacterial SSU rRNA
Rfam family: Bacterial small subunit ribosomal RNA
Source: RNAcentral
AGAGUUUGAUCCUGGCUCAGGAUGAACGCUGGCGGCGUGCCUAAUACAUGCAAGUCGAACGCUUUGUGGUUCAACUGAUUUGAAGAGCUUGCUCAGAUAUGACGAUGGACAUUGCAAAGAGUGGCGAACGGGUGAGUAACACGUGGGAAACCUACCUCUUAGCAGGGGAUAACAUUUGGAAACAGAUGCUAAUACCGUAUAACAAUAGCAACCGCAUGGUUGCUACUUAAAAGAUGGUUCUGCUAUCACUAAGAGAUGGUCCCGCGGUGCAUUAGUUAGUUGGUGAGGUAAUGGCUCACCAAGACGAUGAUGCAUAGCCGAGUUGAGAGACUGAUCGGCCACAAUGGGACUGAGACACGGCCCAUACUCCUACGGGAGGCAGCAGUAGGGAAUCUUCCACAAUGGGCGAAAGCCUGAUGGAGCAACGCCGCGUGUGUGAUGAAGGGUUUCGGCUCGUAAAACACUGUUGUAAGAGAAGAAUGACAUUGAGAGUAACUGUUCAAUGUGUGACGGUAUCUUACCAGAAAGGAACGGCUAAAUACGUGCCAGCAGCCGCGGUAAUACGUAUGUUCCAAGCGUUAUCCGGAUUUAUUGGGCGUAAAGCGAGCGCAGACGGUUAUUUAAGUCUGAAGUGAAAGCCCUCAGCUCAACUGAGGAAUUGCUUUGGAAACUGGAUGACUUGAGUGCAGUAGAGGAAAGUGGAACUCCAUGUGUAGCGGUGAAAUGCGUAGAUAUAUGGAAGAACACCAGUGGCGAAGGCGGCUUUCUGGACUGUAACUGACGUUGAGGCUCGAAAGUGUGGGUAGCAAACAGGAUUAGAUACCCUGGUAGUCCACACCGUAAACGAUGAGUGUCUAGGUGUUUGAGGGUUUCCGCCCUUAAGUGCCGCAGCU